RNAcentral lists this ribosomal RNA (1449 nucleotides) under Triticum aestivum (bread wheat). RNAcentral describes it as "partial small subunit ribosomal RNA". Lineage: Eukaryota; Viridiplantae; Streptophyta; Magnoliopsida; Poales; Poaceae. The record is from RNAcentral.
AUGGCGCAAAAGGAGGCCGGCGUGGCGACGAGCGGCGGCUGCAAGGCCAAGCCGCACGCGGUGGUGGUGGUGUACCCACUGCAGGGCCACGUCAUCCCCGUGACGCACCUCGCGCUGCGGCUGGCAGCGCGGGGCUUCGCCGUCACGCUCGUCAACACGGAGGCCGUGCACGACCAGACGGCGCGCGCGCUCGGCGUCGACCCGGCCGGGCAUGACUUCUUCGCCGGCACACGCGCGUCGGGGAUGGACGUGCGCUACGAGCUUGUCAGCGACGGCCUCCCUGUGGGGUUCGACCGGUCGCUGCACCACGACGAGUUCAUGGGCUCGCUGCUCCACGCGCUCCCCGGCCACGUCGAGGAGGUGCUCGGCCGCGUUGUCGUCGACCCGGCUGCGACGUGCCUCGUCGCUGACACCUUCUUCGUGUGGCCGGCGACGCUGGCCAGCAAGUUCGGCAUCGCGUACGUGUCCUUCUGGACGGAGCCCGCGCUCAUCUUCAACCUCUACUACCACGUUCACCUGCUCACCAACAACGGCCACUUCGGAUGCAACGAGCCUCGGAAGGACACGAUCACCUACAUCCCAGGCGUGCCGGCGAUCGAGCCGCACGAGCUCAUGUCGUACCUCCAAGAGACGGACACCACCAGCGUGGUGCACCGCAUCAUCUUCAAGGCGUUCGACGAGGCGCGGGGCGCCGACUAUGUCCUCUGCAACACCGUGGAGGAGCUGGAGCCGUCCACCAUCGCCGCCCUCCGCGCCGAGAAGCCCUUCUAUGCCGUGGGGCCCAUCUUCCCCGCCGGCUUCGCACGCAGCGCCGUCGCCACCUCCAUGUGGGCCGAGUCCGAUUGCUCCCACUGGCUCGACGCGCAGCCGCCGGGCUCCGUGCUCUACAUCUCCUUCGGGAGCUACGCGCACGUCACAAAGCAGGAGCUGCAUGAGAUCGCGGGAGGAGUCCUGGCCAGCGGCGCGAGGUUCCUGUGGGUGAUGCGGCCGGACAUCGUCAGCUCUGACGACCUGGACCCGCUGCCCGAGGGGUUCGCGUCCGCCGGGCGCGGGCUGGUGGUGCCGUGGUGCUGCCAGGUGGAGGUCCUCUCCCACGCCGCGCUGGGUGGCUUCCUCACGCACUGCGGGUGGAACUCCGUCCUGGAGAGCGUGUGGGCCGGAGUGCCCAUGCUCUGCUUCCCGCUGCUCACCGACCAGUUCACUAACCGGCGGCUCGUCGUGCGGGAGUGGCGCGUCGGCGUGCCUAUCGGGGACCGUGGCGCGGUGUUCGCGGAUGAGGUGAGGGCGAGGAUUGAGGGCGUCAUGUCCGGGAAAGAGGGUGAGGAGCUCCGGGAGGCGGUGAAGAAGAUGAGGGCGACGCUCGAGGCCGCCACGUUGCACGGCGGGUCAUCGCAGCGGAGCUUCGAUGAAUUCGUUGAUGAGCUAACGUGCCGUUGCGGCGGAUGUUAA